AGUGGGGAAUAUUGCACAAUGGAGGAAACUCUGAUGCAGCAACGCCGCGUGGAGGAUGACGCAUUUCGGUGUGUAAACUCCUUUUAUAUAGGAAGAUAAUGACGGUACUAUAUGAAUAAGCACCGGCUAACUCCGUGCCAGCAGCCGCGGUAAUACGGAGGGUGCAAGCGUUACUCGGAAUCACUGGGCGUAAAGCGCAUGCAGGCGGUUUAUUAAGUUGGAAGUGAAAUCCUAUGGCUCAACCAUAGAACUGCUUCCAAAACUGAUAAACUAGAGUCUGGGAGGGGAAGAUGGAAUUAGUAGUGUAGGGGUAAAAUCCGUACAGAUUACUAUGAAUACCAAAAGCGAAGGCGAUCUUCUGGAACAGUACUGACGCUGAGAUGCUAAAGCGUGGGGAGCAAACAGGAUUAGAUACCCUGGUAGUCCACGCAGUAAACGAUGAAUGUUAGUCGUUGGGACUCUAGUAGUUUCAGUGAUGCAGUUAACACAUUAAACAUUCCGCCUGGGGAGUACGGUCGCAAGAUUAAAACUCAAAGGAAUAGACGGGGACCCGCACAAGUGGUGGAGCAUGUGGUUUAAUUCGAAGAUACGCGAAGAACCUUACCUAGCCUUGACAUACUACAGAAUUUGACAGAGAUGUUGAAGUGCCUUCGGGAGCUGUAAUACAGGUGCUGCACGGCUGUCGUCAGCUCGUGUCGUGAGAUGUUGGGUUAAGUCCCGCAACGAGCGCAACCCUCGUCCUUAGUUACUAACGGUUCGGCCGAGGACUCUAAGGAGACUGCCUUCGUAAGGAGGAGGAAGGUGAGGACGACGUCAAGUCAUCAUGGCCCUUACGGCUAGGGCAACACACGUGCUACAAUGGUUAGGACAAUGAGAAGCGAUACCGCGAGGUGGAGCAAAUCUAUAAACCUAAUCUCAGUUCGGAUAGCAGUCUGCAACUCGACUGCUUGAAGCUGGAAUCACUAGUAAUCGUAAAUCAGCUAUGUUACGGUGAAUACGU
Molecule: ribosomal RNA, 1000 nt
Filed under: uncultured bacterium
Lineage: Bacteria
Description: bacterial SSU rRNA
Rfam family: Bacterial small subunit ribosomal RNA
Source: RNAcentral